Manis javanica (Malayan pangolin) is the source of this 567-nucleotide non-coding RNA. NCBI's taxonomy places the organism in Eukaryota, Metazoa, Chordata, Mammalia, Pholidota, Manidae. The record is from RefSeq and is a predicted model, not a curated record.
AGGAGAGGCAGCAGGGCAUGGCUCACUGCCAUGGAACCUUGAGCACUGCACACUGCGGCCAGCCGAGUCAGCUGGGCUGGUGCAGCGACCCUGGACAUCUGCAGCCCAGGACAACUGCCAGUGGGGAGGUUUGGCCACAUUUGGCCCCGCACUGUGCAGAAUGCUUCCUGCUAGGAGGCAAAAGAGAAAGUUCCAGACGACUGAAACAGGCAGCCUUGCAUGCUGAUGUCCGUAACUGUGUGGCCCGUCACCAAUGAAAGUACGGAGGAAGAACUUCCAUGGAAGACUGAUCAGAAGUGCGACAAACCACAGAGGUGCCAGAAGAGCUCGGGAGCACCUGCCAGUGUUUCCUGGGCUGAGGAAAGCUCACAGCAGCCAGACACAGCUGAUUACAGCAAAUCACAUCCUAACUUUGUGGGGCCACGUCUUUUUCCCCUCUGAUGUAUGAUCACUUAAUUUCCUCCUUGAUUGCUUUUCAAAAGCAAUCAAAAUUAAUGUGGACCCACAAAGGGCAAGGCUAUGUGUGAAUAAUUAGUGCAAGAUAAUAAAUGCAAAUGGAGAAAGAUA